RNAcentral lists this ribosomal RNA (320 nucleotides) under uncultured eukaryote. Its description in RNAcentral is "partial 18S ribosomal RNA". It matches the Rfam family "Eukaryotic small subunit ribosomal RNA", at positions 1470 to 1796 of the family's 1831-position model. The record is from RNAcentral.
CCCCUAGAUGUUCUGGGCCGCACGCGCGCUACACUGAACAGUUCAACAAGUCUUAACCUUGGCCGAUAGGUCUGGGUAAUCUUUGAACGCUGUUCGUGAUUGGGAUAGACCUUUGCAAUUAUGGGUCUUCAACGAGGAAUUCCUAGUAAACGCAAGUCACCAGCUUGCAUUGAUUACGUCCCUGCCCUUUGUACACACCGCCCGUCGCACCUACCGAUUGAAUGGUCCGGUGAAAUCUCGGGACGGCGGCUUGGUCGCUUGCGUCCGACUGCUGAAACUUGAUUAAACCAUAUCAUUUAGAGGAAGGUGAAGUCGUAACA